GUUGGCAACAGCAUUUGGCAUGCAUUGAACAAGUCUGGGCACUGGGCCUUACAGUCAUCAUAAAGAAGUGAGCUUCAGUUUCCAAGAAGAGAAGAAAGUAAAGAAGUGUAAUUGGUUGAAAAAGGUUCAGAAAAUCCCUACUUGAUCAAUAAGCCAUGCCCAAUUCUAAGACAGAGGUGUCCAAUAUAAAUGUAAACCACGUCAUCUACUUUCAGAUGGUCAUUGAUGGAUUACAUUACUUUCUGGGUAUCUUCUGACUGCUGUUCAACUUCAGAAACAAAAAGGAGCAAAGGAAAGCUGCCAAGUCCAUUUGCUUUGCGUGACUCCCCACUUCAGUCACACAAGAAAACGCCUUGCCUCUUCAACCUGGGCAGCCGAUGCCUGGAUUUUCUCUUCAUAUGUAUCCUUUCAAACUGAACUGUGGACUUGAGAGGAAACACGCCUAAUGUGCCAUGUGCUUCCUAUUUGUUGAAAGUAUCAACGCUGAAACUCUGUUGGCAUGCUAAAAUGUGAACAUUUUUACAGUGUAGCAGGUUAUGGAAGCUGCUCUUGAUAAAUUCCAUAAUGGCAUUUACACUCCAUGUGCUCCUUUCUGUGAAUGACAAAUUGCCCUAUUAGAUCUCUAAAGAAGCUCCCAAAAAGGGUGAUUCAGCACACAGAGAAAGUGGAACAUGUGUGUAAUUCAGUGUUUCUACGUUCCCCAGUAUGUUUGCAUGGGACUGUGAUGUUGCUCUCUCUGGUGUCACGAGAGCAAGAAAAAAUGUUCAAAAUAAGCUAGACACUCCUAAAUAGCAUCAAAAUCUCUGCUGAUGUUAACCUAAAAACAAACAUCAGGACAUGUUUACCUCUCCUCUUGACUGAUUUUAAAGCUGUAUGAAGAAGAAGCAGUUCGCCUGGAUUUUUUGUCUUAGUUGGGCCAUAGGAGAAAGAACCACGACAGACAGACUAGGGGUGGAUGAUGUAGCUUCUUGAAAAGUAGAGAUUAGAGCCUUAACAACUCGCCUCAGUAAGUACUAGAAGUCUUUGUGUUGAAAAUAGAGUAACCAAGUAAAAAUACUGACAUAUGUUCUGCAUUCUAAAGGUGCUUUUUGUAAGAACACAGUAGGACGUUAACUUAACUGUUAAGUGCUCCCUAAAACCAGCACAUAGAUCUCGUUGUAAAUACUAGAAACACUGUACCUGAUUUAGAAACAUUAACAAUAACCCAAAUAUUUCUCAAAUUAACACUAUGAACUUUCUCAGAUCUUUGUUUUGCGGUUUAUUCUUCGGUGUUCAAGGUGGAUGUACGGGAUUUAAUUUCAAGUCAUAACUUAAUGCCUUCACUUUAGAAAGAGGAGAAAAGUAAAGUUACAUGAGUUAAACGUUACAUAUGAUUUGGCAAAGUGCUUUCAGGAAUUCAAUAAAGGAAGAGUAUAAAAAAACCAAACCAAAGCCCCACACAGUUGCACAGAGUUAGUAGCAAGAACGAAUAGUGCAGUUAAGGUCUAAAAGUACACACUUUUCAGUCAGUCUUGGCUGGCGAAAUGUAGAAGCUUAAUGUGGAUUACACUAUUUGAAUCUUUCAACAUAAACAAAUACAAGAGAUGCAGUGUGUUUUUAUUUCAGAGGACUUUGCAUGCAAUCUCAAGAUAAAUGGGAGAGACUGACUGUGUUUGUACCUGUGCCAGACAUUGUCGUUAGAUAUUGCUGUUUUGUUUCAUCAGCCAGAUGAAUUUACCCAGGGACAUCGAUCAGAUACCUACAUUUAGAAGAACAUACUGUCAAAUUAGUGGAUAAAAAGAGCACAUUAUGAGAGAGAAAUCAUCUGGUGAAAGAUUUAAAGACUGACUCACUUGUGUUUUGUUUCAUUAAAUGUGAGGUAGUCCCCUUUCAUUUUCCAUUUAGCACGAACAUUCAUGGGACUCCAUUACAAUAUCAGCCUUAUAACAAACUAGCUGGCUAGGGAUAUGCAUGAGCCUCCUUGGAAAAAAUACAGCUUCCCACUUACAGAUUCUAGAUUACCUUAAAACUUGGGGCCUGGGCUAGGCAAAUCCAGUGGCCUUUGAGGAGACACCCCCUGGGUACUCCAGUAGGUCUCACGGAUGCAAAGUCACCUGAAGGGCUGCAGUAGCCUUCCCAGGUUGCUAGGUUGGUGGCUGCUUCUCCAAAGUGGAGGCCUUGGGACGGGAGCGGGUGGGGCUUCCAUUCCCCCAAAGGACACAGAAUGUGUUUUAAAUGGAGAAUCACAAAAAGCCCUGGGAAAACUAUCCAGGUGUUGUCUUUUUCCUCCUCCCUCUUAGACACUCUUGGAAGAUACGCUUGAUUAAUGGUUGGACUCGAUGAUCCAGUGGGUCCUUUCCAACCUGGUGAUUCUAUGACUCUAUGAUUUUUGCAUUCAGGGUCAAGGGAACAGUUUGUGGUGGUAAUGGGGAGGCAAGGAUCAGGCUGGAAAGGGGGUGUAUGCGAGUACACAGGAGUUAGGGGAGAUCCAGAUGAGUAGAAAAAAAAGAAAAAAUAGAUUAGAACCCCCCCCCACAUUUUAUGUAUUUUAAGUCUUAUUGGUAAUUUCUUUCUGUCUUAUUAUAAGCUAAACAGGAAAUACUUCUGUAUUCUACUUGAUACCUAUAUGGUAUCCAUCAAUGGAUAUCUACAUGUAUGUAUAUGACAAAUAAGGAUAAGGAUAUGAUAAAUGCAUACAUACAUAUGUACAUGUAUGCGUUUAUGUACAUGUAUGUAUUACAUACACACAUACAUACAUACGCAUGUAUGUAUUUAUGCACAUGCACAGAACCCAGUGGAUCCUGGAGCCCAUCUCCAUCUUGCACAGCAAGAACAGGCUGUUGCAGGCCCAGGGCAAGAAUUCUAUAAUGUCUGUGCCUUUUCAUAUCAGUGGGAAAUGCUGAGACACUUGCCUAAUGUGAGGAAGUCCCAAGGUGGUGUGCCUUGGGAGAACCAUCUGGCUAUAACUGAGGGUAUUUCCCACAAGUACUUGUCUGCUGCCCUCUAAAAAGCAAGACAUUAAUACUUUGAUGCAAUAACACAGCCAAAAAACACAGCCGGUCAUUGAGUGCUUUGGUUGCACGCUGGGGCCAUGUUAACCUUUAAGGCCUGUACCUUAGGUCUCUUGAAGCUAAGCAAGCAGGCAUGGAAAGGGUUCAUGGCUGUCUUUCACCCAGUAGAAACUGAGUGUUACUAAUAUUAUACUUAGUUCUAUUGGUCCUCAUUGUCAUUUGUAUGUUGGAGCACCAGUGUGUGCUCCUUGCUAUGGAGAGGUCCUGGCAAAUGGGCCACCCAGCAUGCUGAGCCUGAGCACCCCAAAUCUUGGUAGUACUCAGACAAUUGCUGUUCCAAAGUCAGACUUCAUGGCUCAAACUCACCCUUUAUAGAGAAAGUGCUCCAUAUAUAUUGUCAGCUUUGAAACCAAACACUUCAUACCUAGCUUAUACCAUAAAUCAAGUUUUGGUGCUGCUUUCUAGUCAGCUCCAUUACACAAGCGGUCUGAGAUCUAUCUUAGCUGAAAUGGUAUUUUUUUCAUGGACUGGGGAAUAAACAGGACUAUUUUAUUCAUUAAGUGAAAGGCUAUGAGACAUUAUGAGACAGGCAUAGGGAGUGCAGGUGCAGUAGCAAAUCCCCACCUGGCUGUCUCAGUACCUGGGCUUGGUGCCUGGAUUCCCUCAUGUUCAGAUCUGCAGCAGCUCCGCAACAUAUUAGAAUGCUCCAUAAAAGAUUUCAGUCCUCAUAUCCUAAAAAACAUUUCAAUAAAUGCAUGCAAGAUUUUGCCCUAGGUCUUUCGAGAGUGAAAAGGGCCAGUCCCCAAACCCACUGUACCACUCUUGGUCUCCAGAAAUGUUAAUUCAUCAUCAAAAUUAUUAAAAACUAAAUGGCUGAGAUGUAUUAUUACAAAGUUGAAGUAUUUCCUUUUAUUGUUUAAAAAUCUCUGUAUUAAUUUGUCAUCUAUUUUUUUUUUCCUUUUACAGUUUCGAAUGUUGCAUCUUACCAUAUGUGAAACAUUUCUUAAAGGUGUCAAAGUGACUUGUCAUGGGUUUGGAAUGAGAACUAAAUUAAAUGUCCAUACUGUAGCAUAGUUAUAUAAAUAAUGAGAUAUUCCAGUAUAAACCAUUGAUUUGGCAGUCAUUUCUACACCAGCAAGUACUAAGCGCUAUGGAAUUCCUGUCUAACUUUGACACAUACAGAGAAAAUCAGGAAGUAAAACGUGUGUGUUUAGGAUUUUAUAGGAAAAGACAGCCCCUUGUAGUACGUUGCCAUGAAAGUAUUUCUAGCUUUUUUGGAAACAGUGCAAAAGGUUUAACAAAACACUCUGGAUUCACAGCAGAAUGCCAGAAUAUUCAGCUGCCUCCCACUGCACUCCAAAACUUGUUUCCAUGAUUUAGAAACAGAAAGGGUGGAAAUUAAUAACAAAGUCAUUAAUGAGCACCAAGAAUGAUUUAUUAUAAUGAUAUAAUGUCACUGCUUUUUUUAAAAAAUAAGUUAA
Cuculus canorus (common cuckoo) is the source of this 4471-nucleotide long non-coding RNA. RefSeq lists it as uncharacterized. NCBI's taxonomy places the organism in Eukaryota, Metazoa, Chordata, Aves, Cuculiformes, Cuculidae. The transcript is spliced from 3 exons. The record is from RefSeq and is a predicted model, not a curated record.